RNAcentral lists this ribosomal RNA (721 nucleotides) under Salmonella enterica. RNAcentral's name for it is "partial 23S ribosomal RNA". It matches the Rfam family "Bacterial large subunit ribosomal RNA", at positions 2202 to 2917 of the family's 2925-position model. The record is from RNAcentral. Lineage: Bacteria; Pseudomonadati; Pseudomonadota; Gammaproteobacteria; Enterobacterales; Enterobacteriaceae.
ACCCUUUAAUGUUUGAUGUUCUAACGUGGACCCGUGAUCCGGGUUGCGGACAGUGUCUGGUGGGUAGUUUGACUGGGGCGGUCUCCUCCUAAAGAGUAACGGAGGAGCACGAAGGUUGGCUAAUCCUGGUCGGACAUCAGGAGGUUAGUGCAAUGGCAUAAGCCAGCUUGACUGCGAGCGUGACGGCGCGAGCAGGUGCGAAAGCAGGUCAUAGUGAUCCGGUGGUUCUGAAUGGAAGGGCCAUCGCUCAACGGAUAAAAGGUACUCCGGGGAUAACAGGCUGAUACCGCCCAAGAGUUCAUAUCGACGGCGGUGUUUGGCACCUCGAUGUCGGCUCAUCACAUCCUGGGGCUGAAGUAGGUCCCAAGGGUAUGGCUGUUCGCCAUUUAAAGUGGUACGCGAGCUGGGUUUAGAACGUCGUGAGACAGUUCGGUCCCUAUCUGCCGUGGGCGCUGGAGAACUGAGGGGGGCUGCUCCUAGUACGAGAGGACCGGAGUGGACGCAUCACUGGUGUUCGGGUUGUCAUGCCAAUGGCACUGCCCGGUAGCUAAAUGCGGAAGAGAUAAGUGCUGAAAGCAUCUAAGCACGAAACUUGCCCCGAGAUGAGUUCUCCCUGAGACUUAAAGUCUCCUGAAGGAACGUUGAAGACGACGACGUUGAUAGGCCGGGUGUGUAAGCGCAGCGAUGCGUUGAGCUAACCGGUACUAAUGAACCGUGAGGC